UGAGGAAUAUUGGACAAUGGGCGCAAGCCUGAUCCAGCAAUGCCGCGUGCAGGAUGAAGGCCUUCGGGUUGUAAACUGCUUUUGUACGGAGCGAAAAGGUCUGCCCUAAUACGGUGGGCUCAUGACGGUACCGUAAGAAUAAGCACCGGCUAACUACGUGCCAGCAGCCGCGGUAAUACGUAGGGUGCGAGCGUUAAUCGGAAUUACUGGGCGUAAAGCGUGCGCAGGCGGUUAUAUAAGACAGAUGUGAAAUCCCCGGGCUCAACCUGGGACCUGCAUUUGUGACUGUAUAGCUAGAGUACGGUAGAGGGGGAUGGAAUUCCGCGUGUAGCAGUGAAAUGCGUAGAUAUGCGGAGGAACACCGAUGGCGAAGGCAAUCCCCUGGACCUGUACUGACACUCAUGCACGAAAGCGUGGGGAGCAAACA
Molecule: ribosomal RNA, 427 nt
Filed under: uncultured bacterium
Lineage: Bacteria
Description: bacterial SSU rRNA
Rfam family: Bacterial small subunit ribosomal RNA
Source: RNAcentral